Long non-coding RNA from Drosophila miranda, 281 nucleotides. RefSeq lists it as uncharacterized. The transcript is spliced from 3 exons. The record is from RefSeq and is a predicted model, not a curated record. Lineage: Eukaryota; Metazoa; Arthropoda; Insecta; Diptera; Drosophilidae.
UUGCAGGUUUUGAUUGGUUUGUUUGGAAGCUAGCGUGGUUCAAUUGGUUAUAUUUGGAGGUUUGCGUUGUAUUUGGUAAGCGAGUCUAUUUAUGUUUUGGCUGAUUUUGAUUGUAUUUUAUUUGCAGGUUUUGAUUGGUUUGUUUGGAAGCUAGCGUGGUUCAAUUGGUUAUAUUUGGAGGUUUGCGUUGUAUUUGGUAAGCGAGUCUAUUUAUGUUUUGGCUGAUUUUGAUUGUAUUUUAUUUGCAGGUUUUGAUUGGUUUGUUUGGAAGCUAGCGUGGU